RNAcentral lists this ribosomal RNA (497 nucleotides) under uncultured bacterium. RNAcentral's name for it is "partial 16S ribosomal RNA". It matches the Rfam family "Bacterial small subunit ribosomal RNA", at positions 28 to 507 of the family's 1533-position model. The record is from RNAcentral.
GAUGAACGCUGGCGGCGUGCCUAAUACAUGCAAGUCGAGCGAACAGACGAGGAGCUUGCUCCUCUGACGUUAGCGGCGGACGGGUGAGUAACACGUGGAUAACCUACCUAUAAGACUGGGAUAACUUCGGGAAACCGGAGCUAAUACCGGAUAAUAUAUUGAACCGCAUGGUUCAAUAGUGAAAGACGGUUUUGCUGUCACUUAUAGAUGGAACCGCGCUGCAUUAGCUAGUUGGUAAGGUAACGGCUUACCAAGGCAACGAUGCGUAGCCGACCUGAGAGGGUGAUCGGCCACACUGGAACUGAGACACGGUCCAGACUCCUACGGGAGGCAGCAGUAGGGAAUCUUCCGCAAUGGGCGAAAGCCUGACGGAGCAACGCCGCGUGAGUGAUGAAGGUCUUCGGAUCGUAAAACUCUGUUAUUAGGGAAGAACAAAUGUGUAAGUAACUAUGCACGUCUUGACGGUACCUAAUCAGAAAGCCACGGCUAACUACGUG